RNAcentral lists this unclassified non-coding RNA (411 nucleotides) under Hevea brasiliensis (rubber tree). The record is from RNAcentral. Lineage: Eukaryota; Viridiplantae; Streptophyta; Magnoliopsida; Malpighiales; Euphorbiaceae.
CCAAGAGUUUAUCCUCCGCUGUUGUGUUCUGCACCUAUUAAGUAUCAGUAUGCCAAUUACUCUAGUCCUAAGUAUAAAGACUCGGGAAAUGGGUCACUGAAGCUGCAACUGAUCAACCAGAGAUCAGACUUCUCUUUUGCGCUAUUUGCUGGUGGAUUUUUAAAUCCAAAGUUGGUGGCAGUGUCGAAUACAGUUGCCUUCUCAAAUCCAAAUGCACCUGUUUAUCCGCGCUUAGCACAAGGAAGAACAUGGAAUGAAAUGGCUAUAACAUGGACAAGUGGAUAUGGGAUCAAUGAAGCAGAACCUUUUAUUGAAUGGGCUCCUGAAGGAGGUGAUCCUAUUCAUUCCCCAGCCGGAACAUUGACUUUUGAUCAACGCAGCGUGUGUGGUGCACCAGCAAGGACAGUGGGA